GAUUUCUGGUUUGAUGUGCCUGUCCCAUCACGGUAACGUGUGUGAGUGACGGUGUAGAUCUGCCAUCCUUCUAGAUUCGGCAGGCUACUCUUUACUGAGCUGGUCUGUCUGUUCUAGAUCUUUUACUUUGAAAAAAUUAGAGUGUUUCAAGCAGGCUUUUGCUAUGAAUACAUUAGCAUGGAAUAAUGAGUUAGGACUUCGGUUCUAUUUUGUUGGUUUCUAGGACUGAAGUAAUGAUUGAUAGGGAUAGUUGGGGGUGCUAGUAUUCAGCGGCCAGAGGUGAAAUUCUCGGAUUCGCUGAAGACUAACUUAUGCGAAAGCAUU
Molecule: ribosomal RNA, 324 nt
Filed under: uncultured Allapsidae
Lineage: Eukaryota; Cercozoa; Glissomonadida; Viridiraptoridae
Description: SSU rRNA
Rfam family: Eukaryotic small subunit ribosomal RNA (bases 114-324)
Source: RNAcentral